This 587-nucleotide ribosomal RNA is filed under the name Dietzia sp. RNAcentral describes it as "bacterial SSU rRNA". It matches the Rfam family "Bacterial small subunit ribosomal RNA", at positions 282 to 880 of the family's 1533-position model. The record is from RNAcentral. Lineage: Bacteria; Bacillati; Actinomycetota; Actinomycetes; Mycobacteriales; Dietziaceae.
GGUAGCCGGCCUGAGAGGGUGAUCGGCCACACUGGGACUGAGACACGGCCCAGACUCCUACGGGAGGCAGCAGUGGGGAAUAUUGCACAAUGGGCGGAAGCCUGAUGCAGCGACGCCGCGUGGGGGAUGACGGUCUUCGGAUUGUAAACCCCUUUCAGUAGGGACGAAGCGCAAGUGACGGUACCUGCAGAAGAAGCACCGGCCAACUACGUGCCAGCAGCCGCGGUAAUACGUAGGGUGCGAGCGUUGUCCGGAAUUACUGGGCGUAAAGAGCUCGUAGGCGGUUUGUCACGUCGUCUGUGAAAUCCUCCAGCUCAACUGGGGGCGUGCAGGCGAUACGGGCUGACUUGAGUACUACAGGGGAGACUGGAAUUCCUGGUGUAGCGGUGAAAUGCGCAGAUAUCAGGAGGAACACCGGUGGCGAAGGCGGGUCUCUGGGUAGUAACUGACGCUGAGGAGCGAAAGCAUGGGGAGCAAACAGGAUUAGAUACCCUGGUAGUCCAUGCCGUAAACGGUGGGCGCUAGGUGUGGGGUCCUUCCACGGAUUCCGUGCCGUAGCUAACGCAUUAAGCGCCCCGCCUGGGGGA